AUCACCAAGAUAGCAACCUUUUUGAGUACCUCCAGCUCAAUAUCAAG
This 47-nucleotide non-coding RNA is filed under the name Thraustochytrium sp. LLF1b. The record is from RNAcentral. Lineage: Eukaryota; Bigyra; Thraustochytrida; Thraustochytriidae.